RNAcentral lists this ribosomal RNA (907 nucleotides) under uncultured marine group I thaumarchaeote. Its description in RNAcentral is "bacterial SSU rRNA". It matches the Rfam family "Archaeal small subunit ribosomal RNA", at positions 516 to 1434 of the family's 1478-position model. Lineage: Archaea; Thermoproteati; Nitrososphaerota. The record is from RNAcentral.
CAUCCGUAGCCGGCUUUGUUAGUUUUCGGUUAAAUCCAUGUGCUCAACACAUGGGCUGCCGAAAAUACUGCAUAGCUAGGGAGUGGAAGAGGUAGACGGUACUCAGUAGGAAGGGGUAAAAUCCUUUGAUCUAUUGAUGACCACCUGUGGCGAAGGCGGUCUACCAGAACACGUUCGACGGUGAGGGAUGAAAGCUGGGGGAGCAAACCGGAUUAGAUACCCGGGUAGUCCCAGCUGUAAACGAUGCAGACUCGAUGAUGCAUUGGCAUAUAGCCAUUGCAGUGUCGCAGGGAAGCCGUUAAGUCUGCCGCCUGGGAAGUACGUACGCAAGUAUGAAACUUAAAGGAAUUGGCGGGGGAGCACCACAAGGGGUGAAGCCUGCGGUUCAAUUGGAGUCAACGCCAGAAAUCUUACCCGGAGAGACAGCAGAAUGAAGGUCAAGCUGAAGACUUUACCAGACAAGCUGAGAGGUGGUGCAUGGCCGUCGCCAGCUCGUGCCGUGAGAUGUCCUGUUAAGUCAGGUAACGAGCGAGAUCCCUGCCGCUAGUUGCUAUCAUUAUUCUCAGGAAUAGUGGGGCGAAUUAGUGGGACUGCCGUUGUUAAAACGGAGGAAGGAAGGGGCUACGGCAGGUCAGUAUGCCCCGAAACUCUGGGGCCACACGCGGGCUGCAAUGGUAGUGACAAUGAGUUCCAAACUCGAAAGAGAGUGGUAAUCUCUAAACGCUACCACAGUUAUGACUGAGGGCUGUAACUCGCCCUCACGAAUAUGGAAUCCCUAGUAACCGCGUGUCAUUACCGCGCGGUGAAUACGUCCCUGCUCCUUGCACACACCGCCCGUCGUUUCAUCGAAGUUUGCUUUUAGCGGAGGUGAUGUUUAAUGGCAUAUCGAACUGAGGAAGGAACAGGC